RNAcentral lists this ribosomal RNA (253 nucleotides) under Alphaproteobacteria bacterium. RNAcentral describes it as "partial 16S ribosomal RNA". It matches the Rfam family "Bacterial small subunit ribosomal RNA", at positions 524 to 776 of the family's 1533-position model. The record is from RNAcentral. Lineage: Bacteria; Pseudomonadati; Pseudomonadota; Alphaproteobacteria. RNAcentral also lists the same sequence under 1 other name.
UACGAAGGGGGCUAGCGUUGUUCGGAAUUACUGGGCGUAAAGCGUGCGCAGGCGGUUUUUCAAGUCAGAGGUGAAAGCCCCGGGCUCAACCCGGGAAUGGCCUUUGAGACUGGAUGGCUAGAGUGUGAGAGAGGUGAGUGGAAUUCCCAGUGUAGAGGUGAAAUUCGUAGAUAUUGGGAAGAACACCCGUGGCGAAGGCGGCUCACUGGCUCGCAACUGACGCUCAUGCACGACAGCGUGGGGAGCAAACAGG